UACGAAGGGGGCUAGCGUUGUUCGGAUUUACUGGGCGUAAAGCGCACGUAGGCGGACUAUUAAGUCAGGGGUGAAAUCCCGGGGCUCAACCCCGGAACUGCCUUUGAUACUGGUAGUCUUGAGUUCGAGAGAGGUGAGUGGAAUUCCGAGUGUAGAGGUGAAAUUCGUAGAUAUUCGGAGGAACACCAGUGGCGAAGGCGGCUCACUGGCUCGAUACUGACGCUGAGGUGCGAAAGCGUGGGGAGCAAACGGG
This 253-nucleotide ribosomal RNA is filed under the name uncultured bacterium. RNAcentral describes it as "partial 16S ribosomal RNA". It matches the Rfam family "Bacterial small subunit ribosomal RNA", at positions 524 to 776 of the family's 1533-position model. The record is from RNAcentral.